GCGCCAGACUCCUACGGGAGGCAGCAGUGGGGAAUAUUGCACAAUGGGGGAAACCCUGAUGCAGCGACGCCGCGUGAAGGACGAAGUAUUUCGGUACGUAAACUUCUAUCAGCAGGGAAGAAAAUGACGGUACCUGACCAAGAAGCCCCGGCUAACUACGUGCCAGCAGCCGCGGUAAUACGUAGGGGGCAAGCGUUAUCCGGAUUUACUGGGUGUAAAGGGAGCGUAGACGGCCAUGCAAGUCUGAUGUGAAAACCCAGGGCGCAACCCCGGGACUGCAUUGGAAACUGUGCGGCUGGAGUGUCGGAGAGGCAAGUGGAAUUCCUAGUGUAGCGGUGAAAUGCGUAGAUAUUAGGAGGAACACCAGUGGCGAAGGCGGCUUGCUGGACGACGACUGACGUUGAGGCUCGAACGCGUGGGGAGCAAACAGGAUUAGAUACCCCAGUACAC
Molecule: ribosomal RNA, 450 nt
Filed under: uncultured bacterium
Lineage: Bacteria
Description: bacterial SSU rRNA
Rfam family: Bacterial small subunit ribosomal RNA
Source: RNAcentral